RNAcentral lists this small RNA (548 nucleotides) under Pan troglodytes (chimpanzee). RNAcentral's name for it is "processed transcript". The record is from RNAcentral. Lineage: Eukaryota; Metazoa; Chordata; Mammalia; Primates; Hominidae.
GAGUGCCUCUGCGGCCACCGGGGUCUUCGUGCUGUCCCUCUCGGCCAUCCCGGUCACCUAUGUCUUCAACCACCUGGCGGCCCAGCAUGAGUGAGUGAGCCGGCGCGGCGGGGGUCGCGCCGAGGGGCGGCGGGAGUUGGCUCGGCGCGACGGGAGCCUCGCAACUUUUCCGAGGGGGCUGGGACCGUCCGCCGCGGGACAGAGUUCCUGGACUAUUGUAGGGGUUGCUGCCCUCAUCCUGUUCCUGGUAGCACUGCUGGCUCGUGUCCUCGUCAAAAGAAAACCACCCCGGGACCCACUGUUCUAUGUGUAUGCAGUUUUUGGAUUUACCAGCGUGGUGAACCUCAUCAUAGGACUGGAGCAAGAUGGAAUCAUUGACGGGUUCAUGACACACUACUUGAGAGAGGGUGAACCAUAUCUGAACACUGCAUAUGGGCACAUGAUCUGCUACUGGGAUGGCUCUGCUCAUUAUCUGAUGUACCUGGUGAUGGUGGCAGCCAUAGCAUGGGAAUCAGGCACAGCUCUGCGGCUUGGCUCGCACUAAGGCU